CUCUUCAGCUUGCAGAUGGCCUAUUGUGGGACUUCACCUUGUGAUCAUGUCUUCAGAUUCAGACUGAGUUACAUCACCAGCUUUCUCCCGCUGGUUUUCCAGCUUGCAGAGGACAGAUUAUGGGACUUCUAGGCCUCCAUAAUUGUCCCCAGGAACUCAAAGUGUGAAAUGAUAAUGCCCAGAGAUGCAAAAAAAAGUUCAGGUUGAUAUUCAGCAGAACGGAGGGAAAAAAUGGAUGACUAACAAGAAACUUUGAGUCUUCGGACAUGGAAAAACUAGAUGAAAUAAAAAUAAAAA
This is a long non-coding RNA of Rhinopithecus roxellana (golden snub-nosed monkey), 297 nucleotides long. RefSeq lists it as uncharacterized. The record is from RefSeq and is a predicted model, not a curated record. The transcript has 3 exons. NCBI's taxonomy places the organism in Eukaryota, Metazoa, Chordata, Mammalia, Primates, Cercopithecidae.